This 1086-nucleotide long non-coding RNA is filed under the name Mus spicilegus (steppe mouse). Its description in RNAcentral is "lncRNA (ENSMSIG00000002914.1)". The record is from RNAcentral. Lineage: Eukaryota; Metazoa; Chordata; Mammalia; Rodentia; Muridae.
CCUCAAGAUACAAGAAUCUUUAUAGAUUUCUCACCUGUCACAUUUGUUCUUCAUUCCCUUGAAAAAGAUAAAAGGAAAUCCUACCUGGUUAAAGGUAAGAUUAAAAAGCUGAAAUAUUAAAGGGAUAGGGAUACCAUUAUGGUUUAAAUGCAUCCUAUCACAUCUUACAUGUUAGAAGUUUAAUCAUCAGUUAAGCAAUGUUGAUAAGUACUCUUUCAAAUAUGAUUAUAUCAAAACUUCAGCCCUCAUGUCCUCACAAAUGAAUUAUAGACAAUAUUGUGGAACACUAUUACUGAGAGUAUAGUUGGUUAUCAAAUAGGGCGAGUUCUCCCUUGCUUGGUACUACCCAUGUAAUAACUUAAUGAUGCUAAGAUGCAGAAUGAAGGCCCAACCAGAACUGCUGUAUUCACCUUGAAAUUUUUAGGCUCCAGGAUUGUUCACUAAAUAAAUGUACAUUUCUCAUUAUCAAUAUUAUUGUAUUCUGUUCUCUUCUAAAAGCAGAGAAUGGACCAAGACAGAUGAAUGCCUUAAUUUUUAUGGAUAUUCUAAACUACAAUUCCUGUGUUUCAAAUGUUGAGGAUCCUCAUGGCCAGUGGUAAUGAUCUUCACCAAAAAAGACAAUACCAACAACAGCUUCUUGCAGUGAGUACAACUGAAGUGCAGAAUCUGUAAGACGAUGCAGGCAAGCUUAUGUGAAAUUUUCAUUUCAAGCAACAGCUCAAAAAAUGGAGGAGCCAAGCUCUCUACAGAUUGUUCAGGAAGCAGUCAAGUCAUGUUGUGAAUACAGUACUAAACCCAGAGUGCAUCUCAGGCAAGGCUCCUUCCAUGGGUACUACUUCAUGAUGACUAUAGGUGGCAAGGAUACAUUCUACAUUUCAACGUUCUAAAAGAAAAAAAAUUAAAUGUGUUCAUUACAAAAGAAUGAUAAAUUUUGAAGGGCUGGUGUGGAAGAUCAGCUAGUAAAGUACUUGCUGAGCCAGCACAAUGACCCAAGGUCAAUGGAACUUGCAUGUAAAGGUAGAAGGAGAGAACCAACUCCAAAGAGUUAUGCUUUUAACUCCCCAUAACUGUGCUACAGGAAAUGUG